CGGACGAACGCUGGCGGCGUGCCUAACACAUGCAAGUCGAACGAGGUCCAUCCUUCGGGAGAAGACCUAGUGGCGAACGGGUGAGUAACACGUGAAGAACCUGCCCCGAAGACCGGGAUAACCCUCCGAAAGGAGAGCUAAUACCGGAUACCCCCACCGAACCGCAUGGGUUUGGUGAGGAAAUGGAUUCCGCUUCGGGAGGGCUUCGCGGCCUAUCAGCUAGUUGGUGGGGUAACGGCCCACCAAGGCAUCGACGGGUAGCUGGUCUGAGAGGACGAUCAGCCACACUGGGACUGAGACACGGCCCAGACUCCUACGGGAGGCAGCAGUGGGGAAUCUUGCGCAAUGGGCGAAAGCCUGACGCAGCAACGCCGCGUGGGGGAUGAAGGCUCUCGGGUUGUAAACCCCCUUUCAGCAGGGACGAAUCAAGACGGUACCUGCAGAAGAAGCCCCGGCUAACUACGUG
RNAcentral lists this ribosomal RNA (466 nucleotides) under uncultured bacterium. RNAcentral's name for it is "bacterial SSU rRNA". It matches the Rfam family "Bacterial small subunit ribosomal RNA", at positions 27 to 507 of the family's 1533-position model. The record is from RNAcentral.